AGAGUUUGAUCAUGGCUCAGAGCGAACGCUGGCGGCAGGCUUAACACAUGCGUCGAACGGGCACCUUCGGGUGUCAGUGGCAGACGGGUGAGUAACACGUGGGAACGUGCCCUUUGGUUCGGGACAACUCCGGGAAACUGGAGCUAAUACCGGAUAAGCCCUUCGGGGGAAAGAUUUAUUGCCAAAGGAUCGGCCCGCGUCUGAUUAGCUAGUUGGUGAGGUAAUGGCUCACCAAGGCGACGAUCAGUAGCUGGUCUGAGAGGAUGAUCAGCCACACUGGGACUGAGACACGGCCCAGACUCCUACGGGAGGCAGCAGUGGGGAAUAUUGGACAAUGGGCGCAAGCCUGAUCCAGCCAUGCCGCGUGAGUGAUGAAGGCCCUAGGGUUGUAAAGCUCUUUUAGCGGGGAAGAUAAUGACGGUACCCGCAGAAUAAGCCCCGGCUAACUUCGUGCCAGCAGCCGCGGUAAUACGAAGGGGGCUAGCGUUGCUCGGAAUCACUGGGCGUAAAGGGCGCGUAGGCGGAUCUUUAAGUCGGGGGUGAAAGCCCAGGGCUCAACCCUGGAAUUGCCUUCGAUACUGAAGAUCUCGAGACCGGAAGAGGUUAGUGGAACUGCGAGUGUAGAGGUGAAAUUCGUAGAUAUUCGCAAGAACACCAGUGGCGAAGGCGGCUAACUGGUCCGGUUCUGACGCUGAGGCGCGAAAGCGUGGGGAGCAAACAGGAUUAGAUACCCUAGUAGUCC
RNAcentral lists this ribosomal RNA (742 nucleotides) under uncultured bacterium. RNAcentral's name for it is "bacterial SSU rRNA". It matches the Rfam family "Bacterial small subunit ribosomal RNA", at positions 8 to 796 of the family's 1533-position model. The record is from RNAcentral.